CCAUACAUACGCCGGCAAUAUCCACCGUCCAAGAAAAACAAACGACAAACUUUAAUAUUGUUUCUCGAUGCAAACCCGAAAUUGAAAUAGGUUUGUCAAUAUUUUCAACGAAUUCUUCCUCCGCAAAUAAAUAGGUUCGACGGAUCUGCUUCAAUUGGUUUCACAAUGCAAUGCCUUUAAUGCUAAUUCCUCAUCUCCUAAUAUAUAAUCAGAUAAUCAGAUUAUCAUCAAUGUCAAAUGUUAAGUUUUCCAGUGACAAUAAGAGCCAAUAUCAAUCUCUUUCUCAGGUCAAUUUGUAUUUACAACGCCCUCUAUUUACUCAUGGCCAGUUCUAUGUGACACUACAAUUGUUGCCUAUAGUGAGAUUUUCAACGACUUAUAAACAUCCUACACGGAUAAUACAUUGCCCUAUGCUAUUGCUUGACACUUGAAUGUCGUACAAAAGUUCAUCAGUUGGCUUCGAACAACAUCUAUAUCCUGUUGGAACUGGAUCAUUAUAUUACGAAGGAUAAGCUGAUAUAGUUUUGCAAUAUGUGUUUUGUUUAAAUUAUUAUGAUUUUCCUCCAAAAUUUCAGACCUUAUAGCAGGGGGAAGAGUUGUUUGGAAAAUAAUGAACUGAAGGUUGUUCUUGGUGCUGGAAGAUAUAUGCUAAUGGCUCCUUUUAGUUAUUCCAUUUGACUUUGUUUAUUAUGCUAUUUAUCUAAAUUCCUUUAAAGCUUUAGUAAAGAGAGCCAAAUCUACCUCUUGAAAAAUUUUGAAAAUUCUAAAAUACAUGUGUAUUUAUAUAGCA
Vicia villosa (hairy vetch) is the source of this 790-nucleotide long non-coding RNA. RefSeq lists it as uncharacterized. The transcript is spliced from 4 exons. Lineage: Eukaryota; Viridiplantae; Streptophyta; Magnoliopsida; Fabales; Fabaceae. The record is from RefSeq and is a predicted model, not a curated record.